Molecule: ribosomal RNA, 264 nt
Filed under: uncultured bacterium
Lineage: Bacteria
Description: partial 16S ribosomal RNA
Rfam family: Bacterial small subunit ribosomal RNA
Source: RNAcentral
UGGGGAAUAUUGCNCANNGGGCGAANCCCUGAUGCAGCGACGCCGCGUGAGNGAAGAAGUAUUUCGGUAUGUAAAGCUCUNUCAGCNGGGAAGAUAAUGACGGUACCUGACUAAGAAGCNCCGGCUAAAUACGUGCCAGCAGCCGCGGUAAUACGUANGGGGCAAGCGUUAUCCGGAUUUACUGGGUGUAAAGGGAGCGCAGGCGGUGCGGCAAGUCUGAUGUGAAANCCCGGGGCUCAACCCCGGUNCUGCNUUNGAAACUGU